RNAcentral lists this unclassified non-coding RNA (284 nucleotides) under Hevea brasiliensis (rubber tree). The record is from RNAcentral. Lineage: Eukaryota; Viridiplantae; Streptophyta; Magnoliopsida; Malpighiales; Euphorbiaceae.
AUUCAAUGCACUUGAACACGAAAAUAGAGGGCACACCCUCUUAAGAUAAUGUGGGAUCUACAAGGUAAAUUCGCGGGUGGAUUGCAUAUGUUGUGAGAGGGUGUGCCAUUUUCAUGUGCAAAGGAUGUACUGUAGAAUUUCCUGACAGAUAAUGAGAACCACAAAAUAACCCAUAUAAACAAGACUAUUGUUCAAAGGGGACAGCUGUGCAUGCAUGUUAGCAGUAUACCCUGAACUGUUCAGAUAAGCCAAAAAAUGAAUGAUUUUAUCAUUUUUCAUAGCAA